GUGAACCCCACAAAAAAAGCAAUGGUUUUAGAGCACAACCUUUGUGUUUUGGUGGUGAGAUGACAGGGCUGGCCGAUGUCUCUCGGACUGUGACUCAGACUGGGAUUAAAGUAUUCCUCAGCUGUCAAGGCCGAAGGGUUCACUCACGCCAUUGUUUGGCCCCACGUGCUGUUCAGCGAUACCCAGGAAUGACUGCAGAGGUGUCUUACCGCCUAAUUCAAAAACACAACACACAGCGGGUCACAGCACAGCAGAGUCGCAGAAAACCAAAGAUCUGUAUUACAUCAGCACAACGGCAGGAAGACAGACACUGUUUGUUCGGGAAUAAUACACAAAACAGGUACGAUUACAAGGACGCCCAUGUGUCGUGAAAACAGAGACAUCAGCGCCAUGUUGGAGUAACAGACGGGCACAGUCCAGGUGGCCUAGCGUCAAAGCCAGGUGCAAAGGAGUCCGACCCCGUGGGUCUAAUACUUCUAAAUCCACCUGUUGGAUUAAAGAGAUUUCACAUGAUGCUAAACAAAUAUCGUCAAAUAUUCCCGUUUAAAUCUAAUUCAUUUUCUACUCAAAUCAUUUCAUGUAUGCCUUUUUCUCAAUUAGAGCAAUGUUCGACGAAAAAUAUAAAUUCUGUUUUCAUUUAUUUACUCUCAUGUUUUUCGAAGCCUGUAUUUAAUGCUUUCUUCAGUUGAAAACUCAUGAAGAUAUUUUGAGAAAGGUGUGUCCAUACAAUGAAAGUCAAUAGGAGGCGGUGUCAUUUUGGUACCGACAUUCUUCAAAAUAUCUUCUUUUGUGUUCUGCAGAAAAAAGAAAAUCACACAGGUUUGGAAUGAAAUAACAUCCCAAAUCCCACUUCACAUAACUGUUUAUUAAUCAUUAAAAAUGUUGCGUCACAGCGCAUAGCGCAAAUGACUUGUUUCUUGAAAGUGUAUGGUUGGUAAACCAUAUCUGCGAAAUGCAGUGUAUUGUGCACAAUAUGAGUAUUAUUGUUAUUUAACAUUUUAGCCAACGUUGUAGCUCACACACUGUAUUUCACAUGCAGACCAGAAAAUGGAAAAAGGAAGAGAAAAAUGGAGACGCACAGAACUACAGAAUAUUUGAGAAAACUGUUUUAUUCUCACUUCAGAUUUAACACGCUUGAGAAAGCUCUCAGGAGAGAACUAAAACUGCAUCAUUUCGCCUGUUUGCAACAUAAAAAGAAAAGCAGGUAUAUGGGUAAAAAGGCCGAAGUAAAAGACUUCGAUGGAAAAGAGAAGUGACAGGUGAUAAUUAAGGCAUCGCACCAGAACAUGACACAGAGCGCUUUCACACGCCGCCCAACAGCCACUGUGAGAAAUACUUCCACAUUCAAACUGAUAACCAAUAAGCACUCUGCAAUUCCCCACAUUUGAGAAACAGCACUGUGGCGUUCUCAUCCAAUAUCUCCGUCUUUCCAUCACAGACAAUGUGACUACAGUCAC
Triplophysa dalaica is the source of this 1457-nucleotide long non-coding RNA. RefSeq lists it as uncharacterized. The record is from RefSeq and is a predicted model, not a curated record. The transcript has 4 exons. Lineage: Eukaryota; Metazoa; Chordata; Actinopteri; Cypriniformes; Nemacheilidae.